Long non-coding RNA from Triticum aestivum (bread wheat), 4516 nucleotides. RefSeq lists it as uncharacterized. The record is from RefSeq and is a predicted model, not a curated record. NCBI's taxonomy places the organism in Eukaryota, Viridiplantae, Streptophyta, Magnoliopsida, Poales, Poaceae. The transcript is spliced from 3 exons.
AAAACCUAAACCUAUCGCCCGCACGUACGAGGUGAAGGAGCGACGACCCCUGGAUCUAUUCGCGACGCGAACGCCGCCGCCUGGCAGAUCCCAGGCGCUAGCCGCGGAUCCCUUUGCCGGCUCCGAGGGGUCGUGGAGGCGCCGUCGUCGAGGUCCCAAAGGAGGCGCCGCCGCCAUCGUUGUGGACCUCUGGGUCGCCAUCUGGACACCUCUGCUGAGGUACGCCUUCGCCUUCGCACGCCGCCGACCUCCCAGAGGAGACGCCGCCACGACCUGCGCUAAACCCUAGGCAUCAACCACCGUGCUCCCGUCCUCCGGUUCCUCCUGCGUUCGCCACCAUGCGAUCGCCUUCCUCCCUCAGGUUCUUGUACGGAACAUACCACCAAACCCCGAUGAAUCAGUUAGCAAGCCUGUGGAACAUUUCUUCCUUGUCAAUCAUCCUGAUCAUCAUUUGAAACAUCAGGUAAUCACUAAAUUUUGGAACAUCUCCCAUUUGAAGAAUCAUCUGCAAAUUCAAAUGUAAGGAAGUGUGCAGUGCAAGCAAUUAUCAGGGUAAAUCUAUUUCUCAAUUAUGUAUUUUUACCACUUCAUCAGGAGUGUAAACUGAUACUAUUUCCAACUACAAAGUGUUGGCUGCCCAGGAAGAAGGAAAGGUCAGUCCAGACAUGACAUUUAACUCUAAUAAUGGAGGUACGUACUGCCUACUGCUCCCUUGUCCCUUGCUACCGGCUGGGGAUGCUCGGCGGGCAGUCCCUGCUCUCAUUUUCCUCCAGCCUCUGGUAACCCUCCUCCUCACCUGCCUUGCUGAAGCAGGAUUCACAUGUUAGUUUAGUUUGGAGGGAUUUCCUGUGGUUGUGCGUGAAUCCAGUGUUCACUAGGCUUGUAUGUUUCAUUCCUAAUUUGCUAGCUCCUGCCUAAACACGCAUUAGAGAAUCUCAUGUAUGUAACAGAAGAUACACAAAUGUGGUUUUCCAGGGAGCAUCAGGUACAUCUUAUGUGGGGAUGAACCAUCAGCUAAAGGGAGUGAUAGGAAAAUAUUUUGUUGAAUGCAAUGGGAAGGCGAAAAACGACACGCCUUGGCGAAGCAACUCUAAGAUUCGGUAAGGCUAAUCAAGUCUGCAAUCAAAUCCAAGAGCAGGGGCAGAGAAAAACAUUAAAAUACUUUUUAGGGCAGAGAAAAAGUUAAAAUACUUUUUAGCUAUUGAUUGAAGUGACUGGUAAUUAGUAGCAGGAGCAACAAUUGUAGUAAGAACCUACCUAGGCAUAUUUUCUCUCUUUCCUAUCACAUGGCACAUUGAAUAACUUUACAGUACAAAUACAUUCACAUAUGUUAUUUUAAAUUAUCAUGUCAUGGAGGUUCUCGUUAUUUCGAAUCUUUGGUCGGAACCUUCAUUUUGUGUUAUUAAAUGCACAUGGUAUUCAGUUAUCUCCAUUAUGGUGAGAAGACUUUGAUCUUGAUAUAUCAGAUUUAAGCCUCCUACACCAUAGGAGGUCCUCCUUUUGGUGAUGUUCACUCAUAUGUCAUUCUAAAUUAUCAUGUCAUGGAGGUGAUGGGUAUUUUGAAUCUUUGGUUGGAACCUUCAUUUUGCGUUAAAUUCACAUGGUAUUCAGUUAUCUCCAUUAUUGCCAGUAGCAAUGCACAAGCACUUUCUAUUAAAUGCACAUGCUAUUUUCUUUUGUAUCAUGUCAUUUUGUGGUCAUUAACAAUCAGAUGGAUGAAACUGAUCUUGUUUUGUGCAUCAUGGAUUUUCUCAACUGAAUGAGUAGAAACAUAAGUGUGUAAUGUAGUAGCCCCUCUAUUCCAUUGUUAUAAAUAUUAUAGUUUUUCAAUCUUCUGACCUGAUCGUAACAGCUGUUUAAAAGGAAGUGAUCACAUCACUAUUUAGAUUUUACUUUUUUUGUAUGCUUAAACAUAAGAUUAGUUUGUCCCCUUUCUUUUUACCCUUCAUGCUAACAUAAUAAAUACAUAUUUGAACUGAAUUGGUUGUAUUACAUAUGCCACGAAGGAUGUCGCCACUUGAAGCUCAAUUUCCAUCAGCCCCUCUUUUAAUUCACUUGCAUUGUUUCAGCUUUGCAUUGUACUUCUUUGACGAAUUACCUCAUCCAAUCGGCUUUAAUUCGGAGCGUCAGUCUUACUAAUUAUCAUUGCCUUAACUUUUCAUAUGAACCUCUUACAGGAAACAAGGACUCCUAUUUGUCUGUAGUACUGCCCAUGAGACUCAACCUUGUUUUACCUUAAUUAUCAUGGUGUGCCUUUUUUUAGAAUAGCUCACCAUUUUGUUAGUGGCAAUAAAAUGCAUCUUUAGGCACACCUAUAGCGCACAUGUGAUGAUGUACAGAUGAAAGAAAGAUCUUAGAAGCUGAGAAGCCGAGAGCUGGAGGAACAAGGAGAAGCUAAAAAGACAGAAGAAGUCAGAGCAUGUGGAGCUGUUGGGCAAGCAGAGUUCUAUCUGGGUAUUUAGGUAGCUGAGGAUAAAAGGGAAAAGGAAAAUGUUGACGAUAUAGUUACUCAAUGCUGAGAAUGUUGCCUGCAUACUUUGUUGCCUAUAUAUCAUUGGCUUUGUAUUGAUCCAGGCAAGAACAAAUCAGACGGAACAAGUUUGCUACGGGUGGGUGUGCAUCAAGCUGCUUCGUUGCCGGCAGCGAGUAAUCUCACACAUGUUUAUGGCGCAUAUGUACCAGGAAAUUCAAAUGGUUCUGAUCAUACGUGCGAGGGGAAUCAGGUAGGGCUUGAUGCGCCUUUCAUACGAAAUGUUGAUGAGAAUUACCCAAGUAGUCCAGGUAUGAGGCUGUGCGGAUAUAGUAAUCAUAAUUUUCAGUGGCAUCGGCAUGUUCUAAUAAAUAAGAUGGGAAGUUCAGAAUAAUGUAACAUCGGCAUGUUCUAAUAAAUAAAAUAAGAGAAGGUUGGGUAUACUGAAGCAGACCCCUUAUAAUUAUGAACGGCUUAUAAAGUUGAAGGAUGAAACUUGAACGAACACAAUUCUGAGGUUUGUAAAGUGAAGCCAAAGACAAGUUCGAGGGGUAAUGUGGACUUCUCUCAAACUAUAUUAUUAGAGGACAAUGAGGGUCUUGAAGACAAUGAAAGCGAUGAGUUUCUACUGGUUUUGUUUUGUUGUAGGCAAAGUUCUUAAUUAUAAUUAUCAAUGUGUUUGUUUUUCUUAAGGACGCAGUGACAUGCAAGGCGAGGGAAAUUGAAGCCAAAACAUGCAGGACGGCCAGGAAUGUGCCAUUUUUUCUAUGACAACUUAGUGAUUUUACCCUUUUUGUAUUUUUUACAUUGCUAGGUACAGUAGUUUAUAUGAAAUGAUUUGUUAAUGGCAGGGGGUGGUUCUUCAAUCUUCAGGUAAUCAAGUGGUAGCAUCAGAUGCUGACAUGCAUGGAAGGUAGCAGUAUAUGUAUUUGUAGCAAAUCAUCAUCGCCCAUAAAUAAAUCAUCUCUUGCCCGCUUCCUCUGUCCGGUUGUCAACUCAAAUUGCUUUGGUUCACAAAUUCGUUUCAUCGUACAUCUAGGUACACUAGAACUGAGAGACUACUUUCGUUGAAUGGCUCGUGCGAGUAAACUGACAAUAGUAUUCAUCCAAGAUGCAGUAGUAUAUGUAUCUUCAUAGAGAUGUAGAUGCAUAGAUAGUUCAAUAGUGCACAUGUUCAUUGACAGGGAUGUAGAUGUAGUAUACAACCGAGGUUACAUUGACAAGUUGGUCCAUGAUGCUCCCAGGAAAAAGAAAAUAUGAUAUAUUUUUUCACACUAUCAUCCAUAGUGAAACUUGUAUUUAAUAUUUCUUUGUUUUGCAAUGCUGAAUAUUUUGGGAACACACAGUAAGAUGUAAUCUACGGAUUCACCAAAUCAGCUUGAACAUUGUUAUCAUGCUUCGUAUGAUUUGGUAAUGAUUUCAGAACUUGGAAUGGGGCAAAUAAAGUUGAAACCAUGUACUAUUCCUCACAAAAAAAAACAGUUACUGUCGAGAGGUUUCAUACUGACAUUAUUUCUUACCAACUAAUGGUGCAUUACUCCUGCCAUGAUAACAACAGCUAACUACUCCAUGAUCACAGCAGUAAACAUUGAUAAGAGUACAAGCAUUGGAGGAGUACUCACCACGUUCGAGGAAGUCGUCAUCAUGGUGGUGGUGGUCGAGGAAGUCGUAGGUGCUGGUGGCAUCAUCACGGAGCAGGCACCAUCUUCUCCUCGACUUAAAAUGUAGUACUCCAUGUACUCCCACUUGUUAACUUUCUGAAAUGCAGAUCCACUCCAAGAAUGUGCUCUAAAAUGGAAGUAACAUGGAGUAUACUCUAAAAAUCAGUAUGGUUUGAGCCCACUAGAUCAAUCAAAGUUCUCCAGCAUGAUAAAAAAAUACUACAACAUGAGUAUUACAGCAGAAUCAGUUUGGUUUGAGCCAAGCAAGAGUACUAAAAUCCUGACAAAAAGAAUACUACAGCAUGAAAAACAUGAUUUCAGAGAUGUUGAUUUCAGUACUUACAACCCAUUGAUAAACAUGAUUUUCAGAAAUGUUGAUUUCAGU